Molecule: ribosomal RNA, 484 nt
Filed under: uncultured bacterium
Lineage: Bacteria
Description: partial 16S ribosomal RNA
Rfam family: Bacterial small subunit ribosomal RNA
Source: RNAcentral
AUUGAACGCUGGCGGCAUGCUUUACACAUGCAAGUCGAACGGCAGCGCGGGCUUCGGCCUGGCGGCGAGUGGCGAACGGGUGAGUAAUGCAUCGGAACGUGCCCAGUAGUGGGGGAUAGCCCGGCGAAAGCCGGAUUAAUACCGCAUACGACCUGAGGGUGAAAGCGGGGGACCGAAAGGCCUCGCGCUAUUGGAGCGGCCGAUGUCGGAUUAGCUAGUUGGUGGGGUAAAGGCUUACCAAGGCGACGAUCCGUAGCUGGUCUGAGAGGACGACCAGCCACACUGGGACUGAGACACGGCCCAGACUCCUACGCGAGGCAGCAGUGGGGAAUUUUGGACAAUGGGGGCAACCCUGAUCCAGCCAUGCCGCGUGCGGGAAGAAGGCCUUCGGGUUGUAAACCGCUUUUGUUCGGGAAGAAAUCCUCUGGGCUAAUACCCCGGGGGGAUGACGGUACCGGAAGAAUAAGCACCGGCUAACUACGUG